This is a long non-coding RNA of Drosophila simulans, 1053 nucleotides long. RefSeq lists it as uncharacterized. The transcript is spliced from 3 exons. The record is from RefSeq and is a predicted model, not a curated record. Lineage: Eukaryota; Metazoa; Arthropoda; Insecta; Diptera; Drosophilidae.
UGAAAUUCAAACUAGAAACAUAAAUGUUCUUUAAAUAAAGAGUUUCCGACCACAGUGCAAGUUAAUUGCCUGACAAACGUGACAGCAGGAAAAGCCGACCGAGUAGGAAGUGGAAGUGGAUGCAUUCAUGGGGAGACCGGGAAAACUGAGAUUCGUUGCGACAAGGACGUUGCUGCAUUCACAGCAGUCGGUACUGACACACAAAGAGAUUUGCGAUGUGCAUAUGGAAGUAUAUAAAUAGAUCCAGGCGGCCGGCCAGGGAACGGAUGCCACGACUGCUGAAACAGAGCCAUCUCGAAUGGCGUCGCCUCUGCUGCCCACCCGAACCAGAUUCGUUUUGGCCAAAACGCCAAACAAGGAGAACAGGAGAGGAGACGGAUUUGAAUGUCACGUUGCAUUCGGAGCGUAACGGACUGUGCCUCGUUAUCGAUACCGCUCGUUAUCUGGCCACUUGGCAGGUGAAAGCGAUAGGGCGUGGGUCGACAUUGACAUUGACGAUGGCCAUGGCGGCGCAGGGUGGCAGGCUGGAAGUGGAGCAUUUUGGGCAUUCGUUUGCCGUCUGCGACAAACAGAGCAUAAACACUCGAUGACGGCAAUUGCUCAACUCGAUUCGCUUGCAUGCAGACAAGGCGGAGGCGAGGCGGGGUGGUGGCUCCUCCUGGCCGUUUUCCUUGCAUGUUCAUGCAUUAGCGCCUCGGAAAAUCAUUGAAAUGGAAAGUGAGCCACCGCUGUCGAUAAGCAAGGACCUUUUAAACCAACUGUGUGCCUCGAAAUAACGUGCUUUGCCAAGUUGCCUUGGUUUUGGUUGUAUAGUAUUAUUUUGUUCUUUUUAGGACAAACAAUUUGCAGUUUCAUUGGUUCUUUUAUACUAAGCACUAUACUGUCACUAUCUGCCCAAAGUUUACUUUCUAAAGUUUACUGUAGUCCGUGAGUCCAGUACCUAUUAAAUCAAUAGUGGAAAAACUAGUGCAGGAUGAGAAGUAAAUCAAUAUUCAAACUAAAAACUUCAAACCCUUAUUAAUAUUUUAAGCUGAUAUCUGGUUCACAGAUUAA